UACGGAGGGUGCGAGCGUUGUCCGGAAUCACUGGGCGUAAAGGGCGCGUAGGCGGCGCGGUAAGCGUGCGGUGAAAGCCCGGGGCUCAACCCCGGGUCGGCCGUGCGGACUGCCGGGCUCGAGCACUGUAGAGGCGGGUGGAAUUCCGGGUGUAGCGGUGGAAUGCGUAGAGAUCCGGCGGAACACCGGUGGUGAAGACGGUCUCCUGGGCCGAGAGCCGACGCUGAGGCGCGAGAGCGUGGGGAGCGAACCGG
This 254-nucleotide ribosomal RNA is filed under the name uncultured bacterium. RNAcentral describes it as "partial 16S ribosomal RNA". It matches the Rfam family "Bacterial small subunit ribosomal RNA", at positions 524 to 776 of the family's 1533-position model. The record is from RNAcentral.